GAUGAACGCUGGCGGCGUGCCUAAUACAUGCAAGUCGAGCGAACGGACGAGAAGCUUGCUUUUCUGAUGUUAGCGGCGGACGGGUGAGUAACACGUGGAUAACCUACCUAUAAGACUGGGAUAACUUCGGGAAACCGGAUCUAAUACCGGAUAAUAUUUUGAACCGCAUGGUUCAAAAGUGAAAGACGGUCUUGCUGUCACUUAUAGAUGGAUCCGCGCUGCAUUAGCUAGUUGGUAAGGUAACGGCUUACCAAGGCAACGAUGCAUAGCCGACCUGAGAGGAUGAUCAGCCACACUGGCACUGAGACACGGUCCAGACUCCUACGGGAGGCAGCAGUAGGGAAUCUUCCACAAUGGGCGAAAGCCUGACGGAGCAACGCCGCGUGAGUGAUGAAGGUCUUCGGAUCGUAAAACGCUUUUAUUAGGGAAGAACAUAUGUGUAAGAAGCUGUGCUCAUCUUGACGGUACCUAAUCAGAAAGCCCCGGCUAACUUCGUG
RNAcentral lists this ribosomal RNA (497 nucleotides) under uncultured bacterium. Its description in RNAcentral is "partial 16S ribosomal RNA". It matches the Rfam family "Bacterial small subunit ribosomal RNA", at positions 28 to 507 of the family's 1533-position model. The record is from RNAcentral.